RNAcentral lists this ribosomal RNA (253 nucleotides) under uncultured bacterium. Its description in RNAcentral is "partial 16S ribosomal RNA". It matches the Rfam family "Archaeal small subunit ribosomal RNA", at positions 474 to 727 of the family's 1478-position model. The record is from RNAcentral.
UACCAGCACCCCGAGUGGUCGGGACGUUUAUUGGGCCUAAAGCAUCCGUAGCCGGUUCUACAAGUCUUCCGUUAAAUCCAACUGCUUAACAGGUGGGCUGCGGAAGGUACUAUAGAGCUAGGAGGCGGGAGAGGCAAGCGGUACUCGAUGGGUAGGGGUAAAAUCCGUUGAUCCAUUGAAGACCACCAGUGGCGAAGGCGGCUUGCCAGAACGCGCUCGACGGUGAGGGAUGAAAGCUGGGGGAGCAAACCGG